UGUGAGUUUGAUCAUGGCUCAGGAUGAACGCUGGCGGCGUGCUUAACACAUGCAAGUCGAACGAUGAUGCCCACUUGUGGGUGGAUUAGUGGCGAACGGGUGAGUAACACGUGAGUAACCUGCCCUUGACUCUGGGAUAAGCCUGGGAAACUGGGUCUAAUACCGGAUAUGACCUUCCAUCGCAUGGUGGUUGGUGGAAAGCUUUUGUGGUUUUGGAUGGACUCGCGGCCUAUCAGCUUGUUGGUGGGGUAAUGGCCUACCAAGGCGACGACGGGUAGCCGGCCUGAGAGGGUGACCGGCCACACUGGGACUGAGACACGGCCCAGACUCCUACGGGAGGCAGCAGUGGGGAAUAUUGCACAAUGGGCGCAAGCCUGAUGCAGCGACGCCGCGUGAGGGAUGACGGCCUUCGGGUUGUAAACCUCUUUCAGUAGGGAAGAAGCGAAAGUGACGGUACCUGCAGAAGAAGCCCCGGGAAAG
This 480-nucleotide ribosomal RNA is filed under the name bacterium 4B-13. RNAcentral's name for it is "bacterial SSU rRNA". It matches the Rfam family "Bacterial small subunit ribosomal RNA", at positions 1 to 501 of the family's 1533-position model. The record is from RNAcentral.